Molecule: transfer RNA, 62 nt
Filed under: Bacteroidetes bacterium RBG_19FT_COMBO_42_10
Lineage: Bacteria; Pseudomonadati; Bacteroidota
Description: tRNA-Ala
Rfam family: tRNA
About the family: Transfer RNA (tRNA) molecules are approximately 80 nucleotides in length. Their secondary structure includes four short double-helical elements and three loops (D, anti-codon, and T loops).
Source: RNAcentral
GGGGGUUUAGCUCAGUUGGCUAGAGCAUUUGACUGGCAGUCAAAAGGUCAGGGGUUCGAUUC